Molecule: ribosomal RNA, 371 nt
Filed under: uncultured organism
Description: partial 16S ribosomal RNA
Rfam family: Bacterial small subunit ribosomal RNA
Source: RNAcentral
GAGGGGUGCAAGCGUUACUCGGAAUUACUGGGCGUAAAGCGUGCGUAGGUGGUGGUUUAAGUCUGCUGUGAAAGCCCUGGGCUCAACCUGGGAAUUGCAGUGGAUACUGGGUCACUAGAGUGUGGUAGAGGGAUGCGGAAUUUCCGGUGUAGCAGUGAAAUGCGUAGAGAUCGGAAGGAACAUCCGUGGCGAAGGCGGCAUCCUGGGCCAACACUGACACUGAGGCACGAAAGCGUGGGGGAGCAAACAGGAUUAGAUACCCUGGUAGUCCACGCCCUAAACGAUGCGAACUGGAUGUUGGGUGCAACUUGGCACCCAGUAUCGAAGCUAACGCGUUAAGUUCGCCGCCUGGGAGUACGGUCGCAAGACUG